UACGUAGGGGGGAAGCGUUGUCCGGAUUUAUUAGGCGGAAAGCGCGCGCAGGCGGUCUCUUAAGUCUGAUGUGAAAGCCCACGGCUCAACCGUGGAAGGUCAUUGGAAACUGGGAGACUUGAGUGUAGGAGAGGAAAGUGGAAUUCCACGUGUAGCGGUGAAAUGCGUAGAGAUGUGGAGGAACUCCAGUGGCGAAGGCGACUUUCUGGCCUAUAACUGACGCUGAGGCACGAAAGCUUGGGGCGCUAUCAGC
RNAcentral lists this ribosomal RNA (253 nucleotides) under uncultured bacterium. RNAcentral's name for it is "partial 16S ribosomal RNA". It matches the Rfam family "Bacterial small subunit ribosomal RNA", at positions 524 to 776 of the family's 1533-position model. The record is from RNAcentral.